Molecule: ribosomal RNA, 480 nt
Filed under: uncultured bacterium
Lineage: Bacteria
Description: partial 16S ribosomal RNA
Rfam family: Bacterial small subunit ribosomal RNA
Source: RNAcentral
GAUGAACGCUGGCGGCGUGCUUAACACAUGCAAGUCGAACGGAACUACUCCAAUGAGAGUCUUCGGAAAGGAUUUGGUUUAGUUUAGUGGCGGACGGGUGAGUAACGCGUGGGUAACCUGCCCUAUACAGGGGGAUAACAGUUGGAAACGACUGUUAAUACCGCAUAAGCGCACAGGAGCGCAUGCUCCGGUGUGAAAAACUCCGGUGGUAUAGGAUGGACCCGCGUCUGAUUAGCUGGUUGGCGGGGUAACGGCCCACCAAGGCGACGAUCAGUAGCCGGCCUGGGAGGGUGAACGGCCACAUUGGGACUGAGACACGGCCCAAACUCCUACGGGAGGCAGCAGUGGGGAAUAUUGCACAAUGGGGGAAACCCUGAUGCAGCGACGCCGCGUGAGCGAAGAAGUAUCUCGGUAUGUAAAGCUCUAUCAGCAGGGAAGAAAAUGACGGUACCUGACUAAGAAGCCCCGGCUAACUACGUG